GACGAACGCUGGCGGCGUGCUUAACACAUGCAAGUCGAACGGAAAGGCCCUGCUUGCAGGGUACUCGAGUGGCGAACGGGUGAGUAACACGUGGGUGAUCUGCCCUGCACUUCGGGAUAAGCCUGGGAAACUGGGUCUAAUACCGGAUAGGAGCCAUUUUUAGUGUGAUGGUUGGAAAGUUUUUUCGGUGUAGGAUGAGCUCGCGGCCUAUCAGCUUGUUGGUGGGGUAAUGGCCUACCAAGGCGGCGACGGGUAGCCGGCCUGAGAGGGUGGACGGCCACAUUGGGACUGAGAUACGGCCCAGACUCCUACGGGAGGCAGCAGUGGGGAAUAUUGCACAAUGGGCGCAAGCCUGAUGCAGCGACGCCGCGUGGGGGAUGACGGGCUUCGGGUUGUAAACUCCUUUCGCUAGGGAAGAAGCUUUUUGUGACGGUACCUAGAUAAGAAGCACCGGCUAACUACGUG
Molecule: ribosomal RNA, 465 nt
Filed under: uncultured bacterium
Lineage: Bacteria
Description: partial 16S ribosomal RNA
Rfam family: Bacterial small subunit ribosomal RNA
Source: RNAcentral